Molecule: ribosomal RNA, 400 nt
Filed under: uncultured bacterium
Lineage: Bacteria
Description: bacterial SSU rRNA
Rfam family: Bacterial small subunit ribosomal RNA
Source: RNAcentral
UCGAGAAUCAUUCGCAAUGGGCGAAAGCCUGACGAUGCGACGCCGUGUGAGCGAUGAAGGCCUUCGGGUUGUAAAGCUCUUUCGCUUGGGAACAAGGCGAUCUAGUGAAUAGCUAGAGAGUUUGAGGGUACCAGGUAAAGAAGCACCGGCUAACUCCGUGCCAGCAGCUGCGGUAAUACGGAGGGUGCAAGCAUUAAUCGGAUUUAUUGGGCGUAAAGGGCGCGUAGGCGGGGGGUUAAGUCAGAUGUGAAAUUCCGAAGCUCAACUUCGGAGCUGCAUUUGAAACUGGCUCUCUAGAGGGUAGACGGAGAAAACGGAAUUCCACGUGUAGCGGUGAAAUGCGUAGAUAUGUGGAAGAACACCUGUGGCGAAAGCGGUUUUCUAGUUUAUACCUGACGCU